AUGCUUAUAGUUGACAUCAAAAUAAACAUUCAGGUCUCAAAGAUUUCAUGCCAUCACAGGAUCCAUCAUAUUUCAUCAAUAUCAAAAACAGAUAAAAUCGAAGAAAAUUGGUGUUUAGCAGCCUGUUUAUUCACUGCACCGGUGGAAAUCACGACGGUGAAGCGACUCAACACGGCUGCGAAAAUCUAUGCCUCUUACAAUCAUAGACGAUGA
Vicia faba (fava bean) is the source of this 213-nucleotide non-coding RNA. The record is from the annotation of a GenBank genome assembly. NCBI's taxonomy places the organism in Eukaryota, Viridiplantae, Streptophyta, Magnoliopsida, Fabales, Fabaceae.